This 492-nucleotide ribosomal RNA is filed under the name uncultured bacterium. RNAcentral's name for it is "partial 16S ribosomal RNA". It matches the Rfam family "Bacterial small subunit ribosomal RNA", at positions 29 to 507 of the family's 1533-position model. The record is from RNAcentral.
AGUGAACGCUGGCGGUAGGCCUAACACAUGCAAGUCGAACGGCAGCACAGUAAGAGCUUGCUCUUACGGGUGGCGAGUGGCGGACGGGUGAGGAAUACAUCGGAAUCUACUUUUUCGUGGGGGAUAACGUAGGGAAACUUACGCUAAUACCGCAUACGACCUACGGGUGAAAGGAGGGGAACUUCGGACCUUGCGCGGUUGAAUGAGCCGAUGUCGGAGUAGCUAGUUGGCGGGGUAAAGGCCCACCAAGGCGAGGAUCCGUAGCUGGUCUGAGAGGAUGAUAGGCGACACUGGAACGUAGACACGGUCCAGACUCCUACGGUACGCACCAGUGGGCAAUAUUGGACAAUGGGCGCAAGCCUGAUCCAGCCAUACCGCGUGGGUGAAGAAGGCCUUCGGGUUGUAAAGCCCUUUUGUUGGGAAAGAACAGCAGCCGGUUAAUACCCCGCUGUUCUGACGGUACCCAAAGAAUAAGCACCGGCUAACUUCGUG